GACGAACGCUGGCGGCGUGCUUAACACAUGCAAGUCGAACGGAAAGGCCCUGCUUUUGUGGGGUGCUCGAGUGGCGAACGGGUGAGUAACACGUGAGUAACCUGCCCUUGACUUUGGGAUAACUUCAGGAAACUGGGGCUAAUACCGGAUAGGAGCUCCUGCUGCAUGGUGGGGGUUGGAAAGUUUCGGCGGUUGGGGAUGGACUCGCGGCUUAUCAGCUUGUUGGUGGGGUAGUGGCUUACCAAGGCUUUGACGGGUAGCCGGCCUGAGAGGGUGACCGGCCACAUUGGGACUGCGAUACGGCCCAGACUCCUACGGGAGGCAGCAGUGGGGAAUAUUGCACAAUGGGCGGAAGCCUGAUGCAGCAACGCCGCGUGCGUGAUGACGGCCUGCGGGUUGUAAACCGCUUUCGCCUGUGACGAAGCGUGAGUGACGGUAAUGGGUAAAGAAGCACCGGCUAACUACGUG
This 468-nucleotide ribosomal RNA is filed under the name uncultured bacterium. RNAcentral's name for it is "partial 16S ribosomal RNA". It matches the Rfam family "Bacterial small subunit ribosomal RNA", at positions 28 to 507 of the family's 1533-position model. The record is from RNAcentral.